This 1191-nucleotide ribosomal RNA is filed under the name human gut metagenome. RNAcentral's name for it is "bacterial LSU rRNA". It matches the Rfam family "Bacterial large subunit ribosomal RNA", at positions 1096 to 2304 of the family's 2925-position model. The record is from RNAcentral.
GGAUGUUGGCUUAGAAGCAGCCAUACAUUUAAAGAGUGCGUAACAGCUCACUAGUCGAGAAAACCUGCGCCGAAAAUUUAACGGGGCUAAAACACGACACCGAAGCUACGGCUUGACAGCUAACGCUGUUAGGGGUAGAGGAGCAUCCUGCAAGGACGAAGCCAAAGUGGAAACGAUGGUGGACGAAACAGGAGAGAGAAUGCCGGAAUGAGUAGCGAGAUAGAAGUAAGAAACUUCUAGGCCGAAUAUCUAAGGUUUCCUGGGUAAAGCUAAUCUUCCCAGGGUUAGUCGGGGCCUAAGGCGAGGACGAAAGUCGUAGUCGAUGGAUAACAGGUUGAUAUUCUUGUACUACGUAUCAUCAGAACUGUGGGGACGCAGGAGGAUAGGAAAACCGGGGAAUGGAAAAACCCGGCUAAGCACAAAGUCAAGGGAGAUAGGCAAAUCCGUCUCUUGAUGAUGAAGUGCGAUGGGGACUGAACAAAAGUAGGGAAGUUUCCGAAUCCACACUGUCGAGAAAAGCCGCUAUUGUGUGAUACGUACCCGUACCGUAAACCGACACAGGUAGAUGAGGAGAAAAUCCACAGGCCGACGGGAGAAGUGUUGUUAAGGAACUCGGCAAAAUGACCCCGUAACUUAGGGAGAAGGGGAGCCACGCAAGUGGCCGCAGAAAAGAGGCUCAAGCGACUGUUUAGCAAAAACACAGGUCUCUGCGAAACCGAAAGGUGAAGUAUAGGGGCUGACACCUGCCCGGUGCUGGAAGGUUAAAAGGAGAGGUUCGACGUAAGUCAAAGCUUUGAAUUCAAGCCCCAGUAAACGGCGGCCGUAACUAUAACGGUCCUAAGGUAGCGAAAUUCCUUGUCAGGUAAGUUCUGACCCGCACGAAAGGUGUAACGAUUUGAGCACUGUCUCGACAACACGCCCGGUGAAAUUGAAGAACCAGUGAAGAUACUGGUUACCCGCAACAGGACGGAAAGACCCCAUGGAGCUUUACUGCAGCCUGAUACUGGGAUUCGAUGAUAUAUGUACAGGAUAGGAGGGAGACUAGGAAUCCGGGACGCCAGUUUCGGAGGAGUCGACGGUGGGAUACCUCUCUUAUGUUAUUGGAUUUCUAACUUGGCACCGUGAUCCGGUGUGAGGACAAUGUCAGGCGGGCAGUUUGACUGGGGCGGUCGCCUCCUAAAAGGUAACGGA